Molecule: ribosomal RNA, 1043 nt
Filed under: Agaricus sp.
Lineage: Eukaryota; Fungi; Basidiomycota; Agaricomycetes; Agaricales; Agaricaceae
Description: partial large subunit ribosomal RNA
Rfam family: Eukaryotic large subunit ribosomal RNA
Source: RNAcentral
GGUUAACAGUGCACAUGCAUGAGAUCGGCGUACCUUACGCUUGACUAGCAUUCAUAAGCGAGGAAAGGAACUAACAGGAUUCCCCUAGUAACUGCGAGUGAAGCGGGAAAAGCUCAAAUUUAAAAUCUGGCGGUCUUUGGCCGUCCGAGUUGUAAUCUAGAGAAGUAAUGCCCGUGCUGGACCGUGUAUAAGUCUCCUGGGAUGGGGCGUCAUAGAGGGUGAGAAUCCCGUCUUUGACACGGACUACCAGUGCAUUGUGGUAUGCUCUCAAAGAGUCGAGUUGUUUGGGAAUGCAGCUCAAAAUGGGUGGUAAAUUCCAUCUAAAGCUAAAUAUUGGCGAGAGACCGAUAGCGAACAAGUACCGUGAGGGAAAGAUGAAAAGAACUUUGGAAAGAGAGUUAAACAGUACGUGAAAUUGCUGAAAGGGAAACGCUUGAAGUCAGUCGCGUUGGCCAGGGAUCAGCCUUGCUUUUGCAUGGUGUACUUUCUGGUUGACGGGUCAGCAUCAAUUUUGACCGCUGGAAAAAGGCUUGGGGAAUGUGGCAGCAUUGGCUGUGUUAUAGCCCCUGGUCACAUACAGCGGUUGGGAUUGAGGAACUCAGCACGCCGCAAGGCCGGGUUUCGACCACGUUCGUGCUUAGGAUGCUGGCAUAAUGGCUUUAAGCGACCCGUCUUGAAACACGGACCAAGGAGUCUAACAUGCCUGCGAGUAUUUGGGUGGAAAACCCGAGUGCGCAAUGAAAGUGAAAGUUGAGAUCCCUGUCGUGGGGAGCAUCGACGCCCGGACCAGAACUUUUGCGACGGAUCCGCGGUGGAGCAUGUAUGUUGGGACCCGAAAGAUGGUGAACUAUGCCUGAAUAGGGUGAAGCCAGAGGAAACUCUGGUGGAGGCUCGUAGCGAUUCUGACGUGCAAAUCGAUCGUCAAAUUUGGGUAUAGGGGCGAAAGACUAUCGAACUCUAGUAGCUUGUCUGCCAGCCCCUCUCACGGGAAGAGUAGAAAAUUCCUACCGAUGUACAAGAUAGACACGUGUGAAGCAUGACAC